UACGAAGGGGGCAAGCGUUGUUCGGAAUUACUGGGCGUAAAGGGCGCGUAGGCGGCUUAUCAAGUCAGACGUGAAAUUCCCGGGCUCAACCUGGGGGCUGCGCUUGAUACUGAUGAGCUUGAAUGCGGGAGAGGAUAGUGGAAUUCCCAGUGUAGAGGUGAAAUUCGUAGAUAUUGGGAAGAACACCGGUGGCGAAGGCGGCUAUCUGGCCCGUAAUUGACGCUGAGGCGCGAAAGCGUGGGGAGCAAACAGG
Molecule: ribosomal RNA, 253 nt
Filed under: uncultured bacterium
Lineage: Bacteria
Description: partial 16S ribosomal RNA
Rfam family: Bacterial small subunit ribosomal RNA
Source: RNAcentral